GCCUGGUGGCUCAGUCGGUUAAGCAUCUGACUUCGGCUCAGGUCAGGAUCUCAUGGUUCGUGGGUUCAAGCCCUGCAUCAGGCU
Molecule: transfer RNA, 84 nt
Filed under: Felis catus (domestic cat)
Lineage: Eukaryota; Metazoa; Chordata; Mammalia; Carnivora; Felidae
Also listed under: 1 other name
Rfam family: tRNA
About the family: Transfer RNA (tRNA) molecules are approximately 80 nucleotides in length. Their secondary structure includes four short double-helical elements and three loops (D, anti-codon, and T loops).
Source: Rfam by way of RNAcentral